GGAGGGAGACGGAUCGUUUACUUUGAAAAAAUCAGAGUGUUUCAAGCAGGCAGCUCGCUCUUGCAUGGAUUAGCAUGGGAUAAUGAAAUAGGACUCUGGUGCUAUUUUGUUGGUUUCGAACACCGGAGUAAUGAUCAACAGGGACAGUCAGGGGCACUCGUAUUCCGCCGAGAGAGGUGAAAUUCUCAGACCAGCGGAAGACGAACCACUGCGAAAGCAUUUGCCAGGGAUGUUUUCACUGAUCAAGAACGAAAGUUAGGGGAUCGAAGACGAUCAGAUACCGUCGUAGUCUUAACCAUAAACCAUGCCGACUAGGGAUUGGGGGCUGUUCCGUUUGUGACUCCCUCAGCACCUUUCGGGAAACUAAAGUCUUUGGGUUCCGGGGGGAGUAUGGUCGCAAGGCUGAAACUUAAAGGAAUUGACGGAAGGGCACCACCAGGAGUGGAGCCUGCGGCUUAAUUUGACUCAACACGGGGAAACUUACCAGGUCCAGACAUUGUGAGGAUUGACAGAUUGAGAGCUCUUUCUUGAUUCGAUGGGUGGUGGUGCAUGGCCGUUCUUAGUUGGUGGAGUGAUUUGUCUGGUU
This 586-nucleotide ribosomal RNA is filed under the name Prymnesiophyceae sp. RCC6270. Its description in RNAcentral is "SSU rRNA". It matches the Rfam family "Eukaryotic small subunit ribosomal RNA", at positions 735 to 1320 of the family's 1831-position model. The record is from RNAcentral. Lineage: Eukaryota; Haptophyta.